This 57-nucleotide transfer RNA is filed under the name Ovis aries (sheep). It matches the Rfam family "tRNA", at positions 8 to 63 of the family's 71-position model. From Rfam's summary of the family: Transfer RNA (tRNA) molecules are approximately 80 nucleotides in length. Their secondary structure includes four short double-helical elements and three loops (D, anti-codon, and T loops). Lineage: Eukaryota; Metazoa; Chordata; Mammalia; Artiodactyla; Bovidae. RNAcentral also lists the same sequence under 1 other name. The record is from Rfam by way of RNAcentral.
UGGCUCAGAGGUUAAAGCGUCUGCCUCCAAUGCUGGAGACCCGGGUUCGAUCCCUGG